UGGAGGGCAAGUCUGGUGCCAGCAGCCGCGGUAAUUCCAGCUCCAAUAGCGUAUAUUAAAGUUGUUGCAGUUAAAAAGCUCGUAGUUGAAUUUCGAGACCGGUUUACUGGUCGUGCUUUUGUACGUACUGGUAUAAUCGGUUUCUCUUUUCUGACGAACUAUAAUGCCAUUAAUUUGAUGUUAUAGGGAAUCAGGACUGUUACUUUGAAAAAAUUAGAGUGUUUAAAGCAGGCUCACGCUUGAAUACAUUAGCAUGGAAUAACGAAAUAGGACGUUUGAUUUUAUUUUGUUGGUUUCUAGGAUCGACGUAAUGAUUAAUAGGGAUAGUUGGGGGCAUUAGUAUUCAAUUGUCAGAGGUGAAAUUCUUGGAUUUAUUGAAGACUAACUACUGCGAAAGCAUUUGCCAAGGAUGUUUUCAUUAAUCAAGAACGAAAGUUAGGGGAUCGAAGACGAUCAGAUACCGUCGUAGUCUUAACCAUAAACUAUGCCGACUAGGGAUCGGAUGAUGUUAAUAUUAAUGACUCAUUCGGCGCCUUACGGGAAAC
Molecule: ribosomal RNA, 545 nt
Filed under: uncultured Glomus
Lineage: Eukaryota; Fungi; Glomeromycota; Glomeromycetes; Glomerales; Glomeraceae
Description: SSU rRNA
Rfam family: Eukaryotic small subunit ribosomal RNA
Source: RNAcentral